RNAcentral lists this ribosomal RNA (670 nucleotides) under Enoploctenus sp. Its description in RNAcentral is "partial large subunit ribosomal RNA". The stretch from base 440 to 670 matches the Rfam family "Eukaryotic large subunit ribosomal RNA", at positions 665 to 864 of the family's 3401-position model. The record is from RNAcentral. Lineage: Eukaryota; Metazoa; Arthropoda; Arachnida; Araneae; Ctenidae.
UCAGUCUGGAGGUGCGGACGUCGCGUCGGAAGGAGCUUCCCUGCGAAAGGGGCCGUCCGACGCGUCCGAUCCGCGUCGCCAGACGCAUUUGUCUCCCGCUCGAAGGACGCCGCAGCCGGUCGGGCAGCGCAAGCGCGACGGCCUGGAGGGCGGACGACGGCAGGUGGCCGGUGGCGCGCCUCGUGCGCGUCGCCGGUUGUUAGCCGGUCCGCCAGUGGCCCGUCGCUCGACCGAGGUGUCACGAGGCCCUUCGGGGCUCCAACGUCUGCUCCCCUGCGGAAGUCGGGACAGGACGUCGCAAGCGAAGGACGCCGUCCCGCCGCACUCCCUCGGAGUGGGCGGGCGAACGUUCGGCGCCGAUGGCGACGACGGACCCGUCGCAGACUGGAGGCUGGCGGCGAGUAGGUCGGUCACCCACCCGACCCGUCUUGAAACACGGACCAAGGAGUCUAACAUGUGCGCGAGUCAAUGGGUCUUGAACAGGCCCAGGGGCGCAAUGAAAGCAAAGGUCGGCCCGCGUCGACCGAGUUGGGAUCCCGUCCCCUCCGGGGGGCGGGCGCACCAACGACCCGUCCUAUGCGGCUCGCCGCUUGGGCGGAGUGUGAGCGUACACGUUGGGACCCGAAAGAUGGUGAACUAUGCCCGGACAGGACGAGGNCAGAGGAAACUC